Molecule: non-coding RNA, 72 nt
Organism: Massospora cicadina
Lineage: Eukaryota; Fungi; Entomophthoromycota; Entomophthoromycetes; Entomophthorales; Entomophthoraceae
Source: the annotation of a GenBank genome assembly
CAGAGUGUAGCUUAAUGGUAGAGCAUUAGCUUUGGGAGCUAAAGGCCGCUGGAUCAGUACCAGUGACUCUGA